GGGUUGUGAGGUUAAGCGACUAAGCGUACACGGUGGAUGCCCUGGCAGUCAGAGGCGAUGAAGGACGUGCUAAUCUGCGAUAAGCGUCGGUAAGGUGAUAUGAACCGAUAUAACCGGCGAUUUCCGAAUGGGGAAACCCAGUGUGUUUCGACACACUAUCAUUAACUGAAUCCAUAGGUUAAUGAGGCGAACCGGGGGAACUGAAACAUCUAAGUACCCCGAGGAAAAGAAAUCAACCGAGAUUCCCCCAGUAGCGGCGAGCGAACGGGGAGCAGCCCAGAGCCUGAAUCAGUGUGUGUGUUAGUGGAAGCGUCUGGAAAGGCGCGCGAUACAGGGUGACAGCCCCGUACACAAAAAUGCACAUGCUGUGAGCUCGAUGAGUAGGGCGGGACACGUGGUAUCCUGUCUGAAUAUGGGGGGACCAUCCUCCAAGGCUAAAUACUCCUGACUGACCGAUAGUGAACCAGUACCGUGAGGGAAAGGCGAAAAGAACCCCGGCGAGGGGAGUGAAAAAGAACCUGAAACCGUGUACGUACAAGCAGUGGGAGCACGCUUAGGCGUGUGACUGCGUACCUUUUGUAUAAUGGGUCAGCGACUUAUAUUCUGUAGCAAGGUUAACCGAAUAGGGGAGCCGAAGGGAAACCGAGUCUUAACUGGGCGUUAAGUUGCAGGGUAUAGACCCGAAACCCGGUGAUCUAGCCAUGGGCAGGUUGAAGGUUGGGUAACACUAACUGGAGGACCGAACCGACUAAUGUUGAAAAAUUAGCGGAUGACUUGUGGCUGGGGGUGAAAGGCCAAUCAAACCGGGAGAUAGCUGGUUCUCCCCGAAAGCUAUUUAGGUAGCGCCUCGUGAAUUCAUCUCCGGGGGUAGAGCACUGUUUCGGCAAGGGGGUCAUCCCGACUUACCAACCCGAUGCAAACUGCGAAUACCGGAGAAUGUUAUCACGGGAGACACACGGCGGGUGCUAACGUCCGUCGUGAAGAGGGAAACAACCCAGACCGCCAGCUAAGGUCCCAAAGUCAUGGUUAAGUGGGAAACGAUGUGGGAAGGCCCAGACAGCCAGGAUGUUGGCUUAGAAGCAGCCAUCAUUUAAAGAAAGCGUAAUAGCUCACUGGUCGAGUCGGCCUGCGCGGAAGAUGUAACGGGGCUAAACCAUGCACCGAAGCUGCGGCAGCGACGCUUAUGCGUUGUUGGGUAGGGGAGCGUUCUGUAAGCCUGUGAAGGUGUGCUGUGAGGCAUGCUGGAGGUAUCAGAAGUGCGAAUGCUGACAUAAGUAACGAUAAAGCGGGUGAAAAGCCCGCUCGCCGGAAGACCAAGGGUUCCUGUCCAACGUUAAUCGGGGCAGGGUGAGUCGACCCCUAAGGCGAGGCCGAAAGGCGUAGUCGAUGGGAAACAGGUUAAUAUUCCUGUACUUGGUGUUACUGCGAAGGGGGGACGGAGAAGGCUAUGUUGGCCGGGCGACGGUUGUCCCGGUUUAAGCGUGUAGGCUGGUUUUCCAGGCAAAUCCGGAAAAUCAAGGCUGAGGCGUGAUGACGAGGCACUACGGUGCUGAAGCAACAAAUGCCCUGCUUCCAGGAAAAGCCUCUAAGCAUCAGGUAACAUCAAAUCGUACCCCAAACCGACACAGGUGGUCAGGUAGAGAAUACCAAGGCGCUUGAGAGAACUCGGGUGAAGGAACUAGGCAAAAUGGUGCCGUAACUUCGGGAGAAGGCACGCUGAUAUGUAGGUGAAGCGACUUGCUCGUGGAGCUGAAAUCAGUCGAAGAUACCAGCUGGCUGCAACUGUUUAUUAAAAACACAGCACUGUGCAAACACGAAAGUGGACGUAUACGGUGUGACGCCUGCCCGGUGCCGGAAGGUUAAUUGAUGGGGUUAGCGCAAGCGAAGCUCUUGAUCGAAGCCCCGGUAAACGGCGGCCGUAACUAUAACGGUCCUAAGGUAGCGAAAUUCCUUGUCGGGUAAGUUCCGACCUGCACGAAUGGCGUAAUGAUGGCCAGGCUGUCUCCACCCGAGACUCAGUGAAAUUGAACUCGCUGUGAAGAUGCAGUGUACCCGCGGCAAGACGGAAAGACCCCGUGAACCUUUACUAUAGCUUGACACUGAACAUUGAGCCUUGAUGUGUAGGAUAGGUGGGAGGCUUUGAAGUGUGGACGCCAGUCUGCAUGGAGCCGACCUUGAAAUACCACCCUUUAAUGUUUGAUGUUCUAACGUUGACCCGUAAUCCGGGUUGCGGACAGUGUCUGGUGGGUAGUUUGACUGGGGCGGUCUCCUCCUAAAGAGUAACGGAGGAGCACGAAGGUUGGCUAAUCCUGGUCGGACAUCAGGAGGUUAGUGCAAUGGCAUAAGCCAGCUUGACUGCGAGCGUGACGGCGCGAGCAGGUGCGAAAGCAGGUCAUAGUGAUCCGGUGGUUCUGAAUGGAAGGGCCAUCGCUCAACGGAUAAAAGGUACUCCGGGGAUAACAGGCUGAUACCGCCCAAGAGUUCAUAUCGACGGCGGUGUUUGGCACCUCGAUGUCGGCUCAUCACAUCCUGGGGCUGAAGUAGGUCCCAAGGGUAUGGCUGUUCGCCAUUUAAAGUGGUACGCGAGCUGGGUUUAGAACGUCGUGAGACAGUUCGGUCCCUAUCUGCCGUGGGCGCUGGAGAACUGAGGGGGGCUGCUCCUAGUACGAGAGGACCGGAGUGGACGCAUCACUGGUGUUCGGGUUGUCAUGCCAAUGGCACUGCCCGGUAGCUAAAUGCGGAAGAGAUAAGUGCUGAAAGCAUCUAAGCACGAAACUUGCCCCGAGAUGAGUUCUCCCUGACCCUUUAAGGGUCCUGAAGGAACGUUGAAGACGACGACGUUGAUAGGCCGGGUGUGUAAGCGCAGCGAUGCGUUGAGCUAACCGGUACUAAUGAACCGUGAGGCUUAACCUUACAACGCCGAAGCUGUU
This 2930-nucleotide ribosomal RNA is filed under the name Escherichia coli. RNAcentral describes it as "23S ribosomal RNA". It matches the Rfam family "Bacterial large subunit ribosomal RNA". The record is from RNAcentral. Lineage: Bacteria; Pseudomonadati; Pseudomonadota; Gammaproteobacteria; Enterobacterales; Enterobacteriaceae.